GGACCCCACUGCUAUCGGGGUGGGACUAAGCCAUGCAAGUCGAAGGUCCCCAGCUCCGGGGGCCUGGCAGACAGCUCAGUAACACGUGGCCAACCUACCCUAGGGAGGGGGAUAACCCCGGGAAACUGGGGUUAAACCCCCAUAGGCGAUGGGUUCUGGAAGGACCCAUCGCUGAAAGUGGUGCAUGGGGAUGCCCCAUGCACCAGCCCUAGGAUGGGGCUGCGGCCCAUCAUGGUUGUUGGUGGGGUAACGGCCCACCAAGCCUAUAACGGGUACGGGCCCUGGGAGGGGGAGCCCGGAGAUGGGCUCUGAGACAAGAGCCCAGGCCCUACGGGGCGCAGCAGGCGCGAAACCUCCCCAAUGCCCGAAAGGGUGAGGGGGUCACCCCGAGUGCCACCCUCGUGGUGGCUUUUGCCGGGUCUAAAAAGCCCGGCGAAUAAGGGGAGGGCAAGACGGGUGUCAGCCGCCGCGGUAAUACCCGCUCCCCGAGUGGUGGGGACUAUUACUGGGCUUAAAGCGCCCGUAGCCGGCCGGGUGUGUCCUCCGUUAAAUCCACGGGCCUAACCCGUGGGCUGCGGAGGAUACUACCCGGCUUGGGGGUGGGAGAGGGCGGCGGUAUUCCCGGGGUAGGGGUAAAAUCCUCUGAUCCCGGGAGGACCACCAGUGGCGAAGGCGGCCGCCCAGAACACGCCCGACGGUGAGGGGCGAAAGCUGGGGGAGCAAACGGGAUUAGAUACCCCCGGUAGUCCCAGCCGUAAACGAUGCGGGCUANGUGUCGGGUGGGCUACGGGCUCACCCGGUGCCGAAGGGAAACCAUUAAGCCCGCCGCCUGGGGANUACGNCCGCAAGGCUGAAACUUAA
RNAcentral lists this ribosomal RNA (861 nucleotides) under uncultured crenarchaeote. Its description in RNAcentral is "bacterial SSU rRNA". It matches the Rfam family "Archaeal small subunit ribosomal RNA", at positions 19 to 859 of the family's 1478-position model. Lineage: Archaea; Thermoproteati; Thermoproteota. The record is from RNAcentral.